UGCAGUCGACGGCAGCACAGUAUAAUUUCGGUUAUAUGGGUGGCGAGUGGCGAACGGGUGAGUAACGCGUAGGAAUAUACCUUGAAGUGUGGGAUAACUUGGGGAAACUCAAGCUAAUACCGCAUAAGCUCUAAGGAGGAAAGCUGGGGACCGUAAGGCCUGGCGCUUUAAGAUUAGCCUGCGUCCGAUUAGCUAGUUGGUGGGGUAAAGGCCUACCAAGGCGACGAUCUGUAGCGGGUCUGAGAGGAUGAUCCGCCACACUGGGACUGAGACACGGCCCAGACUCCUACGGGAGGCAGCAGUGGGGAAUUUUGGACAAUGGGGGCAACCCUGAUCCAGCCAUGCCGCGUGCGGGAAGAAGGCCUUCGGGUUGUAAACCGCUUUCGGACGGAAAGAAAUCGCAUGGGCUAAUACCCUGUGUGGAUGACGGUACCGUAAGAAGAAGCACCGGCUAACUACGUGCCAGCAGCCGCGGUAAUACGUAGGGUGCGAGCGUUAAUCGGAAUUACUGGGCGUAAAGCGUGCGCAGGCGGUUUCUUAAGCCAGAUGUGAAAUCCCCGGGCUUAACCUGGGAACUGCAUUUGGAACUGGGAGACUAGAGUGUGUCAGAGGGGGGGGUGGAAUUCCGCGUGUAGCAGUGAAAUGCGUAGAGAUGCGGAGGAACACCGAUGGCGAAGGCAGCCCCCUGGGAU
RNAcentral lists this ribosomal RNA (692 nucleotides) under uncultured bacterium. RNAcentral describes it as "bacterial SSU rRNA". It matches the Rfam family "Bacterial small subunit ribosomal RNA", at positions 56 to 735 of the family's 1533-position model. The record is from RNAcentral.